Molecule: ribosomal RNA, 786 nt
Filed under: uncultured bacterium
Lineage: Bacteria
Description: bacterial SSU rRNA
Rfam family: Bacterial small subunit ribosomal RNA
Source: RNAcentral
AACACGUGACUAACCUACCCCGGUGUGGGGGAUAACGGGUCGAAAGACUCGCUAAUCCCGCAUACGAUCCGCCUCGGCGGAGGAAAGCCGUAAGGCGCACUGGGCGGGGGUCGCGUCCCAUUAGAUAGUUGGUGUGGUAAUGGCGCACCAAGUCGAUGAUGGGUCUCUGGUCUGAGAGGACGACCAGACAGAUUGGGACUGAGACACGGCCCAAACUCCUACGGGGGGCAGCAGCAAGGAAUUUUCGGCAAUGGGCGCAAGCCUGACCGAGCAACGCCGCGUGGAGGAUGACGGCUCUUGGGUUGUAAACUCCUUUUGGGGGGGACGAUAAUGACGGUACCCUCCGAAUCAGGCCCGGCUAACUACGUGCCAGCAGCCGCGGUAAUACGUAGGGGCCAAGCGUUGUCCGGAAUUACUGGGCGUAAAGCGUGGGUAGGUGGUCGGUGAUGUGCCGCGUGAAAGCGCCGGAGUAAUGCCGGCGAGGUCGCGGUAGACACACGGACUCGAGGCUCGCAGAGGAACGUGGAAUUCCCGGUGUAGUGGUGAAAUGCGUAGAUAUCGGGAGGAACACCAGUGGCGCAAGCGGCGUUCUGGGCGAGACCUGACACUGAGCCCCGACGGCGUGGGGAGCAAACAGGAUUAGAUACCCUGGUAGUCCACGCAGUAAACGAUGCAUACCAGGUGUGGGAUGGCGUUCGCGUCGUUCCGUGCCGCAGCUUACGCGAUGAGUAUGCCGCCUGGGGACUACGAGCGCAAGCUUAAAACUCAAAGGAAUUGACGGGGGCC